RNAcentral lists this transfer RNA (72 nucleotides) under Neoconidiobolus thromboides. Its description in RNAcentral is "Conidiobolus thromboides tRNA-Pro". It matches the Rfam family "tRNA". Rfam says of the family: Transfer RNA (tRNA) molecules are approximately 80 nucleotides in length. Their secondary structure includes four short double-helical elements and three loops (D, anti-codon, and T loops). The record is from RNAcentral. Lineage: Eukaryota; Fungi; Entomophthoromycota; Entomophthoromycetes; Entomophthorales; Neoconidiobolaceae. RNAcentral also lists the same sequence under 2 other names.
CGGAUUGCGGUCAAAAGGCUAGACGCCUUAUUUGGGAUAAGGAGGAUACGAGUUCGAAUCUCGUCAAUCCGA